UAAUAGAAAAUAAAAUUUAAUACUCAAAUUUCUCCAGGACUUGUCAAAAUCCCUAACCUACAAAACUUGUCAAAUGUUGACUUCCUCUGUUGAUGUUUCCGGCGUCGAAAGUCGUCUCCUCUCCGGCAUCUCAAAUUUCUCCUCUCCGGCAAUUGAUUCACAAUGUUUCUUGAAAAUUAAUUUGCAAUUCUCUCUCGGUGACUCUCGCCCUCUCUUUUUGCGAAAUAUUUCAUAUUUUAACUCAUUUUUUGAUCUUAAACUUUCAGUCGGCAAAAAAUAUUUAUUGAGUACAUCAUGCUGGAUAAGGUGAAUGAUGAAGAGCCACAUGCUCACCAGCUUGGCAAACUGCUAGAGACAUCUCAAUUGGUAACAAUUGAUGUUGCAAGUCCAGAAGCAGCUUGUAGCCAAAGGGGAAUCUGUGGAAACAGGUUUCAAAAUCACUAUCAUUUCAAAGUCUGGUGAAGGUGAAGCUCAUGUAGCUCCUUUGGAGAAAAUACCAGAGAGGGCUGCUUCUAAGCCAUCUCUUGCUGAAAAGAUAGAAGAGGUGAAGCCAAAACCCAAAGUUGAAACAGCACCUGUCUUGGAUAAGCAGCCUAAAGCACCCUCUCUGCCGCCUUCUAAGCGCUCUGCAACUGAGCCCCAGCUUCCACCUAAGGACAGGGAAAGUCGGAUUGUUCAUGAUUGCUAAAACAUUGAAGGACUCUCAGAAUACAUUUGCAAUGUUGACAACAUUCAAUGAAGUUGAUAUGCAAGUUCAGUCCUGCUGUAUUGACUGGUGCCUGUGCCACUUUUUCAUGUUUAUGGGCAUGGCAUCUUUUUAGGAGUGUUUCUGCAUUGGGACGUAUGUAUAUACCCAUUGAAAGAAAGAAAGAGACAACAAAGGCACAAGCACAAGACAGGACAAGUGUCACUCAUACAAAAAUUAAGGUUGGACCACAAAGACAGAAGACUGGAAUGUGGCAAGAGCAGAGCAUGAGAGACAGUUAUGGAGAGAAAAUAAAAGCUGGAAAUGAAUCAAGAGGAAGGAAGGGAAGAAACUUGAGGAAAAGGGAGUGAAGGGAGAGUUUCCAGCCUCUUAAAUGCUGGAUAGUUUAUGUUUUCGUUUCUUUUUUUUUUUUCUGCUGAGUUUUAUGCUGAAUACAGUAGCAGAGAACUGUCUUUGUAUUACUGAAACCUUAUCAAUACAACUAGUAUUUUUCA
This is an RNA transcript of Mangifera indica (mango), 1200 nucleotides long. It is a transcript of the gene named dihydrolipoyllysine-residue succinyltransferase component of 2-oxoglutarate dehydrogenase complex 2, mitochondrial-like, with no coding region annotated. The record is from RefSeq and is a predicted model, not a curated record. NCBI's taxonomy places the organism in Eukaryota, Viridiplantae, Streptophyta, Magnoliopsida, Sapindales, Anacardiaceae. The transcript has 5 exons.